UCUUGGCCAGCCUUCUGAAAGGAAGAUUAAUCCAGGAUGGGAUCAUGAGUUCACAUGUCCGCAUGAUUAAAGGUAUUUUCCGGUAGACGAUGGGGAUGCGUUCCAUUAGAUAGUAGGCGGGGUAACGGCCCACCUAGUCAACGAUGGAUAGGGGUUCUGAGAGGAAGGUCCCCCACAUUGGAACUGAGACACGGUCCAAACUCCUACGGGAGGCAGCAGUGAGGAAUAUUGGUCAAUGGGCGAUGGCCUGAACCAGCCAAGUAGCGUGAAGGAUGACUGCCCUAUGGGUUGUAAACUUCUUUUAUAAAGGAAUAAAGUCGGGUAUGCAUACCCGUUUGCAUGUACUUUAUGAAUAAGGAUCGGCUAACUCCGUGCCAGCAGCCGCGGUAAUACGGAGGAUCCGAGCGUUAUCCGGAUUUAUUGGGUUUAAAGGGAGCGUAGAUGGAUGUUUAAGUCAGUUGUGAAAGUUUGCGGCUCAACCGUAAAAUUGCAGUUGAUACUGGAUGUCUUGAGUGCAGUUGAGGCAGGCGGAAUUCGUGGUGUAGCGGUGAAAUGCUUAGAUAUCACGAAGAACUCCGAUUGCGAAGGCAGCCUGCUAAGCUGCAACUGACAUUGAGGCUCGAAAGUGUGGGUAUCAAACAGGAUUAGAUACCCUGGUAGUCCACACGGUAAACGAUGAAUACUCGCUGUUUGCGAUAUACGGCAAGCGGCCAAGCGAAAGCGUUAAGUAUUCCACCUGGGGAGUACGCCGGCAACGGUGAAACUCAAAGGAAUUGACGGGGGCCCGCACAAGCGGAGGAACAUGUGGUUUAAUUCGAUGAUACGCGAGGAACCUUACCCGGGCUUAAAUUGCACUCGAAUGAUCCGGAAACGGUUCAGCUAGCAAUAGCGAGUGUGAAGGUGCUGCAUGGUUGUCGUCAGCUCGUGCCGUGAGGUGUCGGCUUAAGUGCCAUAACGAGCGCAACCCUUGUUGUCAGUUACUAACAGGUGAUGCUGAGGACUCUGACAAGACUGCCAUCGUAAGAUGUGAGGAAGGUGGGGAUGACGUCAAAUCAGCACGGCCCUUACGUCCGGGGCUACAC
Molecule: ribosomal RNA, 1082 nt
Filed under: uncultured Bacteroides sp.
Lineage: Bacteria; Pseudomonadati; Bacteroidota; Bacteroidia; Bacteroidales; Bacteroidaceae
Description: bacterial SSU rRNA
Rfam family: Bacterial small subunit ribosomal RNA
Source: RNAcentral